Molecule: long non-coding RNA, 232 nt
Filed under: Zostera marina
Lineage: Eukaryota; Viridiplantae; Streptophyta; Magnoliopsida; Alismatales; Zosteraceae
Description: long non-coding RNA (ZMAR_LNC001920)
Source: RNAcentral
CUCCUACCACUCCAGUUAAGCAAGGUUGCCUCCAUUCCCUGCAACGUGUCAUGUAUUCUUGAGUGAUUAUAUACAUCACUCAGUAUGUAAAGCAUAAACAUCAACAAUUGUCUAACAAUAUCAAUUAACAUAACACAUGCAUAUGUAAACAUUCAGUCUAAUAGUAUCAAUCAUUCAUCAUUUAUGAACCUUAAUGGGUCAUCACUCGUCAUUUAUCAUUCACCAUUCAUCA